This 85-nucleotide transfer RNA is filed under the name Aquibium oceanicum. RNAcentral describes it as "Mesorhizobium oceanicum tRNA-Arg". The record is from RNAcentral. Lineage: Bacteria; Pseudomonadati; Pseudomonadota; Alphaproteobacteria; Hyphomicrobiales; Phyllobacteriaceae.
UUGCCCGGCUUAGAUAAGGGUAAACCAGGGUAAAGCUGCCGUCCGAAGGCAGAGGUCACAGGUUCGAAUCCUGUCGGGUGCGCCA